AUGCUAGCGUCAGCAGCACAUAUAUUAAAAUUAGUAUGAUAUAGAGAUUUUCAUGACCCCUGCACAAGGAUGACAGGUAAAUUUGUGAAAUAUUCCAUAUUUUU
Small nuclear RNA from Myodes glareolus (Bank vole), 104 nucleotides. The record is from RefSeq and is a predicted model, not a curated record. Lineage: Eukaryota; Metazoa; Chordata; Mammalia; Rodentia; Cricetidae.